AAAUACUUGUAAAUGGAGUUUCCUUGUGAAUCCAAACUUUCUCCAAUUCAUUAGCAAUAAAACCUCUUCAAUUUAUCCCCUUUAGAUACCCAGAAAUUGUUCAAAAACCCUCUUCAAUUAUUCGACUUUCUUCUUUUCUGGUAGGAUCAAAGUUUCAGUCUUGUCAUGGCCAAAAGUUCUUUCAAGCUUGAACACCCUUUGGAGAGGAGGCAGUCAGAAUCUUCUCGCAUCCGAGAGAAGUAUCCUGAUCGAAUUCCGGUGAUUGUUGAGAAGGCAGAGAAGAGUGAUGUCCCUGACAUCGAUAAAAAGAAAUACCUUGUCCCAGCUGAUUUGACUGUUGGUCAAUUUGUUUAUGUGGUGCGGAAGAGGAUCAAGCUCGGUGCUUCAAAGGCCAUCUUUGUCUUUGUCAAGAACACUUUGCCUCCAACAGCUUCUCUGAUGUCUG
Molecule: unclassified non-coding RNA, 445 nt
Filed under: Hevea brasiliensis (rubber tree)
Lineage: Eukaryota; Viridiplantae; Streptophyta; Magnoliopsida; Malpighiales; Euphorbiaceae
Source: RNAcentral